AAUAAACUAAUUUUUCAUUUUUCUCUUCAAUUUUUGACUCUUCGUCUUAUUCAAACUUUUCUGUGAUUGAUAUUUUUGUUUUUAUUAGAUGAUAAAUUAUGAAUAAUACUUUAUGUGUGACUAAUUUUUUUAAAUUUUUUGAUUUUUUUUUAAAUAAGACGGAUGGUCAGACGUUGGAUACAGAAAUCGAAGAAUUCGUUUUUU
Molecule: microRNA precursor, 204 nt
Filed under: Oryza brachyantha (malo sina)
Lineage: Eukaryota; Viridiplantae; Streptophyta; Magnoliopsida; Poales; Poaceae
Description: MIR812 microRNA precursor family
Rfam family: MIR812 microRNA precursor family
Source: Rfam by way of RNAcentral